GACGAAUGGCCCGAGGAGGCAAUGCCUCGGGUGUGACGGUACUUGCAGAGGAAGCACCGGCUAACUCCGUGCCAGCAGCCGCGGUAAUACGGAGGGUGCGAGCGUUGUUCGGAAUGAUUGGGCGUAAAGCGCACGUAGGCGGCCCGUUAAGUCUCUUGGUGAAAGGCCGGGGCUCAACCCCGAGGCGAGCCGGAGAUACUGGAGGGCUGGAGAGAGGCAGAGGCCAGCGGAAUUCCGGGUGUAGCGGUGGAAUGCGUAGAGAUCCGGAAGAACACCAGAGGCGAAGGCGGCUGGCUGGGCCUACUCUGACGCUGAGGUGCGAAAGCGUGGGGAGCGAACAGGAUUAGAUACCCUGGUAGUCCACGCCGUAAACGAUGGAGACUAGAUGCCGGGGGGAUCGAGCCCGUCGGUGUCGGAAGCUAACGCGUUAAGUCUCCCGCCUGGGGAGUACGGCCGCAAGGCUGAAACUCAAAGGAAUUGACGGGGGCCCGCACAAGCGGUGGAGCAUGUGGUUUAAUUCGAAGCAACGCGAAGAACCUUACCUGGAUUUGACAUGCUAGAGAAAGCCCGGUGAAAGCCGGGCCCCCCUUCGGGGCUCUAGCACAGGUGCUGCAUGGCUG
This 620-nucleotide ribosomal RNA is filed under the name uncultured bacterium. RNAcentral describes it as "bacterial SSU rRNA". It matches the Rfam family "Bacterial small subunit ribosomal RNA", at positions 444 to 1051 of the family's 1533-position model. The record is from RNAcentral.